Molecule: ribosomal RNA, 757 nt
Filed under: Seirophora lacunosa
Lineage: Eukaryota; Fungi; Ascomycota; Lecanoromycetes; Teloschistales; Teloschistaceae
Description: LSU rRNA
Rfam family: Eukaryotic large subunit ribosomal RNA
Source: RNAcentral
GCGCGGCGAACGGUCUAAGUCCCUUGGAACGGGGCGUCAUAGAGGGUGAGAAUCCCGUAUGUGAUCGGCGACCAAGCCCAUGUGAAACUCCUUCGACGAGUCGAGUUGUUUGGGAAUGCAGCUCAAAAUGGGUGGUAAAUUUCAUCUAAAGCUAAAUACCGGCCAGAGACCGAUAGCGCACAAGUAGAGUGAUCGAAAGAUGAAAAGCACUUUGGAAAGAGAGUCAAAAAGUACGUGAAAUUGUUGAAAGGGAAGCGCUUGCCACCAGACCUGCCCGCGGGCGAUCAGCCGUUUUUUCGAAAGCGGUGCAUUCACCCGCGAUCAGGCCAGCAUCGGUUCGGGCGGCCGGAUAAAGGCCUCGGGAACGUGGCUCCUCUCGGGGAGUGUUAUAGCCCGUGGCGCAAUGCGGCCAGCCUGGCCGAGGACCGCGCUUCGGCUAGGAUGCUGGCGUAAUGGNUGUAAGCGGCCGUCUUGAAACACCGCCAAGGAGUCUAACAUCUAUGCGAGUGUNUGGGUGUCANACCCAUGCGCGUAAUGAAAGUGAACNGAGGUGGGAACCCGNGAGGGCGCACCAUCGACCGAUCCAGAUGUCUUCGGAUGGAUUUGAGUACGAGCAUANCUGUUGGGACCCGAAAGAUGGUGAACUAUGCCAGAAUAGGGUGAAGCCAGAGGAAACUCUGGUGGAGGCUCGCAGCGGUUCUGACGUGCAAAUCGAUCGUCAAAUUUNGGCAUAGGGGCGAAAGACUAAUCGAACCAU